AACGCUAGCUACAGGCUUAACACAUGCAAGUCGAGGGGCAGCAUGGACCCAGCUUUGCUGGGUUUGAUGGCGACCGGCGCACGGGUGAGUAACGCGUAUCCAACCUGCCCUUUACUCCGGGAUAGUCUCCUGAAAGGGAGUUUAAUACCGGAUGUGUUUGUCUUUCCGCAUGGGAGCGACAAAUAAAGAUUAAUUGGUAAAGGAUGGGGAUGCGUCCCAUUAGCUUGUUGGCGGGGUAACGGCCCACCAAGGCGACGAUGGGUAGGGGUUCUGAGAGGAAGGUCCCCCACAUUGGAACUGAGACACGGUCCAAACUCCUACGGGAGGCAGCAGUGAGGAAUAUUGGUCAAUGGGCGGGAGCCUGAACCAGCCAAGUAGCGUGAAGGACGACGGCCCUACGGGUUGUAAACUUCUUUUAUAAGGGAAUAAAGUUCGCCACGUGUGGUGUUUUGUAUGUACCUUAUGAAUAAGCAUCGGCUAAUUCCGUGCCAGCAGCCGCGGUAAUACGGAAGAUGCGAGCGUUAUCCGGAUUUAUUGGGUUUAAAGGGAGCGUAGGCGGGCUUUUAAGUCAGCGGUCAAAUGUCGUGGCUCAACCAUGUCAAGCCGUUGAAACUGUAAGCCUUGAGUCUGCACAGGGCACAUGGAAUUCGUGGUGUAGCGGUGAAAUGCUUAGAUAUCACGAAGAACUCCGAUUG
This 695-nucleotide ribosomal RNA is filed under the name uncultured bacterium. Its description in RNAcentral is "bacterial SSU rRNA". It matches the Rfam family "Bacterial small subunit ribosomal RNA", at positions 32 to 715 of the family's 1533-position model. The record is from RNAcentral.